AAGAGCCCGAGUCAAUAGGAAACCAGUUCCAAGGGACUCAGCUAAGCCACUCAGAGAAAAAAAGACCUGAGCUUUAUUCGGAGAGGAAAAAAAAAAAAAAUGGAACAAGCUUGUGGCUGCAGGCACAGCACAGCUCAGGUCACUGGAUAGAUGGUCCCUUUGGAUCACGUGCUCAUCCCUGGCCCAGUCAGCUGUGAUCAGAGGAGCAAGACCGUGAGAUAAGGCUUGAAACCUAAGGAAUUUCAAAGAGGGGGCCAUGAUGGGCAUUCAGCGGCAUCUCAGGAGGGGGCAGAGUAACCAGCAGGUGCUUUGCAUGCUGGUCUGGUGUGUCUGGAAAAGGCAUCCCGCUAAAACGUUUGUCAGGAAACUUCUCAUCAGCAUUUCCAGCAUGCAGGAGCAACCAAGAGAGCCACUUAGAUACCAUUUGAUUAUAAUGUGUUUCUCAGAGAAAUAAAUAGCCCAAAUGGAAGUUGGGAAACCCAGGUAACAGUGCAUAGAUGAAUUGCCUAAGGUUCUGCUU
RNAcentral lists this long non-coding RNA (520 nucleotides) under Homo sapiens (human). RNAcentral describes it as "HSALNT0071259". Lineage: Eukaryota; Metazoa; Chordata; Mammalia; Primates; Hominidae. The record is from RNAcentral.